GCUGAUGGUGAAAUGGUUAACUGUGGAGUUUGGGGAACCGCUUAGCAAACCCACUGUUGUGGUGUAUGCCGAAAUCAAGAAGGCGGAAGGAAUGCCAGAUCACACAGAAGGCCACAGACUGCAGCGAGCGAGCUGGAAAACAGGCUUAUCAGUGUUUACCCAGCGUGGCCCAGACCUCCGCAUGACCUCAGGGACAGCAGCGUGUUGGCAGAACGUGGAUGGCAGGCUGGACACAGCAGCCUGUGCACUACCUCCCUGCCUUCACAAUGGCAGAGAUGGCACUGGGGGCCUAAGCCAGUAAAACAACUCCCAAACUGACCAAUCAUCACCCAGCAGCCACCAAUCUCUGAAUACACGCAGGGAUAACACGUGCACCACAUCCAGGACGGCUCAGAGUAAUUACAGAGGGGAAGAGGCCCAGGCAUCCACCUCCAUGCAAGCGGGAGCACAUGCUGGGUCGUGAAGACGUGCACCCUGGACUCUGACUGAGUCUUGACAUCAAAAGCAUCUCUGAAAAGCACCGAGUGAAAUGACCCACCUGGGGCAGAAGCUCAAUGAGGAUGCUCACUGAGACCCCUGGAGUGCCAGACUACCCCGACAAAAGGAUAUCUCAGUGGACCAUUCUGUGCAAAGGGGACUCAUGGGCUUGGAGACGCCACAGCAUGCCCUAGGAACACCAGUCAGUGGAUCUGGGCUUGCAGACACCGUCAGGCACACCUUUUUUGGUUGUUUGGUUUUGUUUUGUGACUUCACUUCAAGACUGCUCCUUCUCAAAGGAGAAAGCUCCCCACAGAAGGUUCAGGAUUGUCAACUGCAUGGGCCACGUGAAGCCCUCAGAUGGCCAGGAGCCAAGAAUUCCAUUGAUCAUCGGCGUAUCACAGCAAAGCCUGAAGCCCACCCUUCACUAGAAACCACUCACGUGAGGAAAGUGGCAUUGGAUCCCAUGGCCCCUCCUGGCUCCUAGGUGAUCUACUCUGAAGGUUCAGGUGAUAGCUGGGGCCCAGAUGUCCAACAAAGGAGCUCAAUAUCCUGAUGUUUUAUUGUCUGAAGUAUGAGCAUCCAGGACAUCCAGCUGCAGGGGGUGCCAGGCAGUGAGGAGCCUAGAGAAGCAGACUCAGGAGCGCUCUGGAGGUUCCUCAAUGGUACCAGAGUUUGCCUACUCAACUGGAAAUAGCUGCCUGAUAGUGAGACUGGGAUGGCCGAGCCCCAAUUUUUACAGAAAAAAGGAAAGGGAAGGUGUUCUAGAGGUGGGAUACAAGACUAGCUUUGGGGUACACAGGAGGGCUGGUGAGGAAGACUUAGACACUGGGAGUUCUGAUGCUAAGUUUCUUGUUCUAGGUAUAUUCAACAUGUUCCCUAAGGCCUUGGACCACGGUUGUCAUAGUGUGGCUUUACAUUCAGAUUUUCCAGAGAGCCCCCAUAUGCUCAAGGAUGGAGGUGUAGUAUCGAUCAUACCAGUACCCUGCCCCCUCUUCAGUAAAGCUAAGAGAUUCUGUUUCUCACAAUACCCAUACAGUGUGGCCUCUUGCCUAACAGACAUGUGUGCUUUGAACCAUGGUUUCUGUUAGUAGAAAGUGUGUGAGCAACUGCAUACCACAUAGAUUUGUAAGAAAACAGGGACGAGCAUCUUUUCAGUCACUGGAACGAAGUCUCCUACGGGAAGACCCAGUGUAUCAGGACUGCACACAGAAAUCACUGGAACAGUCCACAGCAGCACACAAAAUAAACCUCAUGAGACAUCUGAUCUGGUUUAAUUCACAAUUUAAUUCUUCAAAGCAGGUUAUUGGGCUACCAGUUAAACAUUAGUGUUGGAGAAUGACAUGUUUAAUGUAUUUACUAUAUCUGAUAAUUUAAAAUAAAUCCCGGUACUUAUGAUGAUGACAGCUACAGAUAACCAUUCAUGUUAAAUACUCUUUGAUUCUCUCUUAUUCGUACAUUACAUUGUAGAUGGACAUUUUAAGUGGUAAUGCAGACAAACAUGAUUUAAGACAAUAUAUGCAUAUUAAAAUUCUGUAUCUCUUGAUAAGGUAAAAAAUAAAGCUAUAUAAAUUGAUAGACAUUUUUCUGCAAAAUUAGAAGCACACUUUCGUAACACUUCCAACACACACCUCUUCGUUAAAGCUUUGUUCAGACAACAGCAUCAGAACCGCUCUGUCUAUUCACCCGUCUUCUAGCUCUUCACACAAAGGAUUGCAUUCGCCAAGGGACUGUUUUUCCUGUUUUUACAGUCGUAUGUGGGAAAUUUCCAAAAAGAAAUGUAGAACACGAGGGCCCGCUGUUCUGUGGCAUUGCCGACGAAUUACAUUAAGAUGAGAUAAAUGUGGUUGGCUGAGUCCAGUAGCAGUCAGUGCAGACAGACCUUGAGCUUGGGUUCAGAGGCCCAGACCACCAGAGGAAAUGCUCUCAAAGUCCACCCCAUGGUUCCAGUCCUGGCGGUGUCAUCCCCCACUCUGCUACCUCAGCCUUCAGAGCCUCCUCCCAUCCAGGAGCUCCCUGGGCGGGGCCUUUGGUCUGCUUGUACUCAGGAAUGAAUUGCUGGGAUUGAGGGUCAUGUUUUCCUAGCUAGUAUAAUGGCGAGGGGCAGACACCGCACUCAGGGUGGCAUGCGGCUUUGCGUUGGUUAGCCUGGAUCCCGCUGGCUGGGCUGAGGGCGCAGAGGGGGGUCCUCAGGUCAGUCCAGCACUGCUGUCACCCACAGCCCAAGCACCCUUCCUAGGUGUGUGUGUGUGAAUGUAAGGAGCCUGAUGGUCGCAGAGGGCAAAAUCUCUGCACAGAGCUACCAGAAUGGAGGCUGGAAGGAAAAUGCACACGUGUGUUUGUGUGUGUGUGUGCACAUAUGUAUACAUGUUAUACUAGCUUGUAAAUGGCCAGGAAGUAUGUGGGAAAGUAAGAGAACACAUAUGAAGCCAGGGCUCCUGGUACAUACAUGAGAUGAACUGCUUGUAGGUAACAGAACCAUGAAUUCUGGCCAACAUACGUUACAUGUGCAACGCAAUUAAGAAGAUGCUUCACUUGAGUUAAAAGUUACUGGCUUUAAGGAAAGUAAGAAGCAGCCGCUGUGAGGUGGGGCGGAACAUCUUCUGCACUCACAUUCGGUCUCAUUUCUGCAUUUCACCUGUGCCCUCAUCUGUUUCAAACUCUUAGGCACCUUCACGUGGUAAUUUCCUAAGCACAAUUUUAAAAAAACAUUGGAGUGUGCACAAAGCCUGGGGUGUUCCUAUGUAAACUUAGGCUAUGGGGGGUAGGGUGUGAGAGAGUGUCCUCACACCUAGACUGGGUUGCAGAAUGUAGAGCCUGCAGGAAGAAUAUUCUGUGUUUAAGGCUGAAGGAUGGAAAUAAAAAAAAAAAAAAACAGAAAA
Molecule: long non-coding RNA, 3359 nt
Organism: Alexandromys fortis (reed vole)
Lineage: Eukaryota; Metazoa; Chordata; Mammalia; Rodentia; Cricetidae
Exons: 3
Source: RefSeq, a predicted model, not a curated record